UAAAGAUAUACUAACUUACUAAUGCGGUAUCUAUAUAAGGCAAGCGAAGUAGUUUUCCAAGUCUAAUACUCUUCUAGAUAUUUCUUCAUUGUAUUUCAAGUCAAUAGGAGAAGUUAUAACCAUUAGCCAUGAGGGUAUUAUUAUUUAUUGCAUCGAUUUUAGCAAUUGUUGCUUGUGCAAAUACACUAUCACUGAGGCUGUGUAAAUUUCUGUGCCCACCUAUAAACCGGCCUGUUUGCAGCAGAGAUGGAAGUACUUAUCGUAACAUAUGUGUCAUGAAAUGUCGCGGUCGACCACUUUGUCACACAGGACCCUGCGAUCUUCGUCGUCCAUUUUGUAGUUCGUCUGAUGGUAAUCAAAGUUCUACCACUACUGUGAAGCAGUAAAAAGCAAGCAGAAUCCACCAAGAAGCAAUUUGUUUGAAGUAUUGAAACGGAUCACCUAGUUAUUUUAUAAUGAAAUUCAAAACUAUUUAAAGCAAUAAAGAAAUGAAGCAUUAAUACAAUUAUUUGUAUGUUUAAUAAACUUUAAUAAAAAAGCUUCGUCGUCCAAAUAAUCUAUAACCAUGAAAAAAAAUGUAUACAUGUGAAUAAACUACUUAAUAUGGAA
Leptidea sinapis is the source of this 609-nucleotide long non-coding RNA. RefSeq lists it as uncharacterized. Lineage: Eukaryota; Metazoa; Arthropoda; Insecta; Lepidoptera; Pieridae. The record is from RefSeq and is a predicted model, not a curated record. The transcript has 3 exons.